RNAcentral lists this ribosomal RNA (273 nucleotides) under uncultured bacterium. RNAcentral describes it as "partial 16S ribosomal RNA". It matches the Rfam family "Bacterial small subunit ribosomal RNA", at positions 524 to 796 of the family's 1533-position model. The record is from RNAcentral.
UACGUAGGGUGCAAGCGUUAAUCGGAAUUACUGGGCGUAAAGCGUGCGCAGGCGGUUUUAUAAGUCUGAUGUGAAAUCCCCGGGCUCAACCUGGGAACUGCAUUGGAGACUGUAAGGCUAGAGUGUGUCAGAGGGGGGUAGAAUUCCACGUGUAGCAGUGAAAUGCGUAGAUAUGUGGAGGAAUACCGAUGGCGAAGGCAGCCCCCUGGGAUAACACUGACGCUCAUGCACGAAAGCGUGGGGAGCAAACAGGAUUAGAUACCCCCGUAGUCC